Molecule: ribosomal RNA, 348 nt
Filed under: uncultured bacterium
Lineage: Bacteria
Description: partial 16S ribosomal RNA
Rfam family: Bacterial small subunit ribosomal RNA
Source: RNAcentral
CCUACGGGAGGCUGCAGUGGGGAAUAUUGCACAAUGGGGGAAACCCUGAUGCAGCGACGCCGCGUGAGUGAAGAAGUAAUUCGUUAUGUAAAGCUCUAUCAGCAGGGAAGAAAAGGACGGUACCUGAGUAAGAAGCCCCGGCUAACUACGUGCCAGCAGCCGCGGUAAUACGUAGGGGGCAAGCGUGAUCCGGAUUUACUGGGUGUAAAGGGAGCGUAGCCGGUAGUGCAAGUCUGGAGUGAAAGGCGGGGGCGCAACCCCCGGACUGCUCUUGAAACUGUACGGCUGGAGUGCAGGAGAGGUAAGUGGCAUUCCUCUUGUAGCGGUGCCAUGCGUCGUUCUUAGGAG